Long non-coding RNA from Nanorana parkeri, 140 nucleotides. RefSeq lists it as uncharacterized. NCBI's taxonomy places the organism in Eukaryota, Metazoa, Chordata, Amphibia, Anura, Dicroglossidae. The transcript has 3 exons. The record is from RefSeq and is a predicted model, not a curated record.
GAAUUUGACAACCCCUGGUUUUAGUACACCAUUGCGCUCUAUUUACGAAGUCCCUUUGUGUUAGCACAAUACUAUCACCGACAUUACAACAAAAGUGACUUGCUCUAGUACAGGGGUAGACAAUCUUGACACUUACUUGC